AGCGAACGCUGGCGGCAGGCCUAACACAUGCAAGUCGAACGAACCUUUCGGGGUUAGUGGCGGACGGGUGAGUAACACGUGGGAACGUGCCUUUAUGUUCGGAAUAACUCAGGGAAACUUGUGCUAAUACCGAAUGUGCCCUUCGGGGGAAAGAUUAAUCGCCUUUAGAGCGGCCCGCGUCUGAUUAGCUAGUUGGUUGAGGUAAUGGCUCACCAAGGCGACGAUCAGUAGCUGGUCUGAGAGGAUGAUCAGCCACAUUGGGACUGAGACACGGCCCAAACUCCUACGGGAGGCAGCAGUGGGGAAUCUUGCGCAAUGGGCGAAAGACUGACGCAGCCAUGCCGCGUGAAUGAUGAAGGUCUUAGGAUUGUAAAAUUCUUUCACCGGGGACGAUAAUGACGGUACCCGGAGAAGAAGCCCCGGCUAACUUCGUG
This 434-nucleotide ribosomal RNA is filed under the name uncultured bacterium. RNAcentral's name for it is "partial 16S ribosomal RNA". It matches the Rfam family "Bacterial small subunit ribosomal RNA", at positions 29 to 507 of the family's 1533-position model. The record is from RNAcentral.